CUUAAUUAAAAAUACAUUUUAAAUAAAUUUACUUGCUGCUCUACAUUGCUUACACUUGUAACAGAAGGAAGUGGAAAAAGUUGGUUGAAUAUGCAUUGCAAUCUCUUGUUUCUGAAAGAGGAACUUAAUUUACUGCGUUGUUUCUCAUUAUGUACAAAAUGUUUGAAAACCAUUGCCAAGCGCCAAGAGACCACACACUAACUUGGAAUUACUGCUUAUCAUUUUUUUUUUUUAAAGGAAUUACUGAUAAAAUCCUAGACCGUUAGUUGUCCAUUAGAAUUAAUUUGAGAAUCUUUGAUACUUUUGAAUGGAGCCUGACAAUGAUAGAACUGGUAAAUAAGGUAGUAUUUUAUUUAUUUUAUUCAACUUCAUAAUGUUCAAAUCAAGGAAAUAGGUCAAGACAUAAGUUUCUUGACUAAUUAAUAUAGAGGUUAGAGAGUAAUAUGGAGUUUAGAGCCCUAUAAAACACAAAGGACAUUUAGUAAAUACUAAAGGUGGUGAUUCUCCAUUUAAAAUGCGAAAACGGUCUCAUCGCAGGCAUACUUUAGUGUUAGAAAUACAAAUCUAUACUCCUAACACUAUAGUGCCCCCUGGUCCUCUCUCCCUGACGCAUUAAGGGUUUUAAAAAAACAAAACAAAAAAACCCUUUUAUUUACUCACCUGAUUCCGGUGCCAAUGUCCCUCGGCGCUCUGCCUCCUCCGAUGUUAUGUGAUGGGGGGACCUAAUGCCCUCUGCAUAAACAAAGUGAUUUAACUCCUAAUGGUAGAGGAUUGAGCAGUGGGACUGCAGGGGCAAGAUCUAUACACCAAAACUGCUUCAUUAAGCUAAAGUUGUUUGUGACUAUAGUGUCUCUUUAAGCUUGGUAAACUAAAAGUUUAAAUAAAUGUUCAGAAAAUUCAUUCUUCAGCAGAAAGCUGUGUCAAAGCAUAUUUUCUUCCCAACCUGAAAAUGAAAUCACAUUAGUAAUAUGGCUUUUUACAUUACUUUUACAAUACAGUUUGACUUGUAAUCUAGUGAGCAAAGUAAUGUUUUCUGCAAUAUAUUUGUGUUUUGACAGCUGGUGGUGAUGUGGCACUGCACUCUUAUUUAGCUGGCCAGCCUGUAGAAGAUUCUCAGUCGAGCAUGCUUGCAUGUUUCUUGGUUUAUCACUCUGUCCCAGCACCAAAGGAGCUGUCACAAGUUACACUGGAAGGUAAUUCACAUGUGUCUCGUGGGUAGUCUGAUGCUGUGAGUUAAGAUAUUAGUUCUUACCUCCUUUAUUAAUAAUUAGUAGUUUUUGAUUUCUCUUCCAGGAAACGUAUUUAUUACAGGGGAUUUUGUAAGUCCUUCCAGAGAAAGAGUAUUUAUUUUGCAAAAGACGUCAAUAUAGAGUGUUACAAAUAACUAGAUAAAAUAAAUUAAAAUUUAACAGAAUUAUUUUUCUCUUUCACAGGAAGGUCUGUAAAUAAAUCUAUUACCCUACUGUCUGUCUAGGCCUGACAUAAAUCUUCAUAAUUUGGAGCUCCGAUGUCCUCCUGCUUUGUGACAAAAAAAAAUGAAUAUAAAAUAUUAAAACACAUGCACAAACAUGUCUUACUGGCAUUCAAUAGCUGUGUUUCCUAUAGCUGAAGUGCCCGGGAUCUGUGUGUGUGCAUUAAAUGUUACAGUAAACAUGGCGCACACUGCUAUCCAGAACAGGAAACCAAAUCUAGAAAAAACACCUUGCAUUGUGAUAGGUAGUGGGCAGACAAGAUCACUCACUUGGAUUUUAUCUGUUAAAAUCUGUUUCUGAAAAAAUGUAUUUAUUUCUUAAUUAAUUUUUCUGUUUUCUGUUCACAGGAAGCCACUGUUUUUCUGACCUACUGUUGAAAUUCAAAACCAUGGGAUUGCCAGUGAGAGCAUUACUGAGGCUUGCACCCUUGUUACUUGGAAACCCCCAGUACUUGGUUCUUUAGCCAACUUUGAUGAGCCAAUUAGAAGUUCUAAAAGAUUUGCAUGUAUGAGGAGUUCUCUAGAAUACUGACUUUCUGUACUUCGUCUCAGUCAACGGGAUGUUCUUCGGUAUGAUUUAUAAAGUGAUACCUAUUAAUUUAAAAUAACUUUUCUUAUUCAGCCCUUUAAUUUAACGCUGGAUUAUCAGUGAGAAGAAAGUUUACAAGAAGGACUUACAAAGUGAUAUGGAGCCAUAACUAAGUACAGAGUUCGGAACUGGGAAAUCCUGAGACAGAAAAGGCCCAAGAGACAGAGCAUUCGUAGCCCACAACAUCUUCGCCUUUUGGCUAACGAAUGUUAUGAGGAGCAAUCAUUGGUGUGCUCGGCUACUUUCCCAAGAUUAUAGGAAUUUUGUGAAUUUUGACCGAUUUGGUAAAUCUAGGUUAAAUGCAGAUGAGCUUACUUUGUCUUAAGUGAUCGGAGUGUAUUUCCAUUGUUAUAGGCAAUGCAUGUCUCUAAAGAAAAUAGCACUUGUAAAUACAGUUUUGUUUAAAAAAAAUAAAUAGAAAAAUAUUUUUUAAAAGUCCAUUAUUUGCCUUUUUUUUGCUUUAAAAUGUUAUUGGUUUCAUUAUGCUUUAAUAUUGUGAUACAGAAGAAAAUUCCACCCACAGCUGUUUACAUCUAAACCAAAAAUAUUGAAAAAGUAUUGAAGGCAUCUGAAC
This 2634-nucleotide long non-coding RNA is filed under the name Pelobates cultripes (western spadefoot toad). The record is from RNAcentral. Lineage: Eukaryota; Metazoa; Chordata; Amphibia; Anura; Pelobatidae.